UUCAAAACUAUAAGAGUACUUGGAUUAUUACUCACUCUCACGAGGUUUGAAAAUCGAAUUAUCUCGAGCUCAUAAAUAUUACGAAGCUCUAUACGAUUGCUUUCCUGAACAUAAAAGAUACGUAAAAUGCAAUCGUUCGAUUGAUUUCAUUGAUUUCACUCGGAUAACAUUUGGAAAGUCAUCGAAUUAUUUUUUUACCGAAGAUAUCUAAUAGGGCAAUCUGAAUUUGGUAAAGAAGAAAUCAUAUGAUAUUUGGAGGAAUGUAAUAAUGGAUAUUCUUUACUCUGUGAAGGAAGAAAGAGGAAUGAUCUUUUGAAGGGCAGAAAAAUGAAGCAUAUGGUGCCUCGAGUUUCGCUCGAAACUUGUUUUCAUCGUACGAUCGGAGAGAGGAGAAAGGAAGAUGACCGGACCCAUUUUCGCAGCCCGAGGCUACAUCACAAAAGGAGGCUGGAUAAUCAAAAAGUAUCAAUACGAAAGAAAAAGUACAAUAUGUAGAUAAAAUUGAUUUUUUUCUAUGACAUUAUAUACAUAUAUCUCGAAAUAGGGAUAAUUUCAGGUAAAUGGAAGAUUAUAUUAUUACAGGAGUCUUCUUAAGAAACGACCUAGCGAGAUAUAGAAAGAGUCAUAAAACAUAAAUCCAAUCGUUUUUGUAAAAGGAUAUUAACUUUUUACGAUAUAAAAAUAUAGUUCUACGAUUCUUUCUCCUAUCCACGAAGCAUCCAGCUCUGUAUGCUUUCGUUUUGCACUUCUUAACCGGAAGUCUCGAGGCCGGUGUAACCGAACAUUUUCAACGAUCGUGGCUUGAUGUAAUUCACAAUUUUAUAUUGUUAUUACCUAUUUUGAUAUUUGUAUCUAUUAAAAGAACGACGAAAGCAGAUGUGGGAGAUAGUCCGAUAAGAUAUAGUCAAUUACUGUCUUGACUAUGCGUUGUAUAAUAAUAUAAAAGAAAAUUCAUGAAAUUCGAUAAGAAUAUACGUAAGAUAGAAAGUACAUCGAGUUCGAAGAAAAUUUUAAUGGAUUCGUUAUACUUAAUCUAGGAGAUAUUGAAAAGAACACCAUUAAGGAGUCGAUCAUUGCGACAAAUCGAUCUCGUAAUCUAUUUUAUGCAUCUCAUUGUAAUGAAUCAUUUUUAUGGUUCAUCGAACAACGUCGAUCAGCUCGUGCAGCUCGCGUUCUAAUAAUGUUGCAAAUUUAUGAAAGAUUUUUUUAUGUGUCAAACUAUAUCAAACUUAUCUACAUAUUAAUUUUAUUUACUAACAUGCAUUUUAUCUUGUUCAUGAGUCAGUGUACAAGCUAACUGAUCUACAAUGAUGUGGCAAUCAAAUAUCCAUGACCCAUAAGUAUGCACGCAACUCCAGCUUUAUACGCGUCGCUAGAUUCGUAGGUACUACAUGCAUAUCUUGAACGGUAUUCAUGAAGCACCAGCAUCCUUCGUAAGUAAGAAGAAAAUACGUAACGAAGAAGUGGGUUCCUUGGUCGACGUUCACCAUUCUACCUGCCCGUCUCCCACCUGACCGACCUGAAGAACUCUUUCCUCCUCGGAGAAGUAAAACUCUCGGACGUUUUCCGAUCUCCAACAGUUCUGAGCUCGUCCUCGUCGAUGUGCCAAAUUAUUAACCGAGCUUCACCUUCCAGCUCUAAGAAAGAGCCUCAAAAGAUAAGCGUGUGUCGCGAACGAACAAAUCAGUUUUUUGUUUUUUUUCUUAUGAAAUAGGAAGAAGAAGAAGGAUAUCGUUUGUCGAAGAAGAAUAUGCAUGUUUGAUUUUUUUU
Molecule: long non-coding RNA, 1770 nt
Organism: Vespula pensylvanica (western yellowjacket)
Lineage: Eukaryota; Metazoa; Arthropoda; Insecta; Hymenoptera; Vespidae
Exons: 4
Source: RefSeq, a predicted model, not a curated record